RNAcentral lists this transfer RNA (87 nucleotides) under Flavobacteriales bacterium. Its description in RNAcentral is "tRNA-Leu". It matches the Rfam family "tRNA". From Rfam's summary of the family: Transfer RNA (tRNA) molecules are approximately 80 nucleotides in length. Their secondary structure includes four short double-helical elements and three loops (D, anti-codon, and T loops). Lineage: Bacteria; Pseudomonadati; Bacteroidota; Flavobacteriia; Flavobacteriales. The record is from RNAcentral.
GCCCAAAUGGUGGAAUUGGUAGACACGCAGUCUUGAGGGGGCUGUGCUCUUUUGAGUGUAUGGGUUCAAAUCCCAUUUUGGGCACAA